AUUGAACGCUGGCGGCAUGCCUUACACAUGCAAGUCGAACGGCAGCGGGGGAGAAGCUUGCUUUUCCUGCCGGCGAGGUGCGAACGGGUGAGUAAUACAUCGGAACGUGCCCUGCAGUGGGGGAUAACUAGUCGAAAGAUUAGCUAAUACCGCAUACGACCUGAGGGUGAAAGUGGGGGACCGCAAGGCCUCAUGCUAUAGGAACGGCCGAUGUCGGAUUAGCUAGUUGGUGGGGUAAAGGCCCACCAAGGCGACGAUCAGUAGCUGGUCUAGGAGGACGAUCAGCCACACUGGGACUGAGACACGGCCCAGACUCCUACGGGAGGCAGAAGUGGGGAAUUUUGGACAAUGGGCGAAAGCCUGAUCCAGCAAUGCCGCGUGUGUGAAGAAGGCCUUCGGGUUGUAAAGCACUUUUGUCCGGAAAGAAAUGGCUCUGGUUAAUACCUGGGGUCGAUGACGGUACCGGAAGAAUAAGGACCGGCUAACUACGUGCCAGCAGCCGCGGUAA
This 508-nucleotide ribosomal RNA is filed under the name uncultured bacterium. Its description in RNAcentral is "partial 16S ribosomal RNA". It matches the Rfam family "Bacterial small subunit ribosomal RNA", at positions 30 to 523 of the family's 1533-position model. The record is from RNAcentral.